GACGAACGCUGUCGGCGUGCUUAACACAUGCAAGUCGAACGGAAAGGCCCUGCUUUUGUGGGGUGCUCGAGUGGCGAACGGGUGAGUAACACGUGAGUAACCUGCCCUUGACUUUGGGAUAACUUCAGGAAACUGGGGCUAAUACCGGAUAGGAGCUCCUGCUGCAUGGUGGGGGUUGGAAAGUUUCGGCGGUUGGGGAUGGACUCGCGGCUUAUCAGCUUGUUGGUGGGGUAGUGGCUUACCAAGGCUUUGACGGGUAGCCGGCCUGAGAGGGUGACCGGCCACAUUGGGACUGAGAUACGGCCCAGACUCCUACGGGAGGCAGCAGUGGGGAAUAUUGCACAAUGGGCGGAAGCCUGAUGCAGCAACGCCGCGUGCGGGAUGACGGCCUUCGGGUUGUAAACCGCUUUCGCCUGUGACGAAGCGUGAGUGACGGUAAUGGGUAAAGAAGCACCGGCUAACUACGUGCCAGCAGCCGCGGUGAUACGUAGGGUGCGAGCGUUGUCCGGAUUUAUUGGGCGUAAAGGGCUCGUAGGUGGUUGAUCGCGUCGGAAGUGUAAUCUUGGGGCUUAACCCUGAGCGUGCUUUCGAUACGGGUUGACUUGAGGAAGGUAGGGGAGAAUGGAAUUCCUGGUGGAGCGGUGGAAUGCGCAGAUAUCAGGAGGAACACCAGUGGCGAAGGCGGUUCUCUGGGCCUUUCCUGACGCUGAGGAGCGAAAGCGUGGGGAGCGAACAGGCUUAGAUGCCCUGGUAGUCCACGCUGUAAACGGUGGGUACUAGGUGUGGGGUCCAUUCCACGGGUUCCGUGCCGUAGCUAACGCUUUAAGUACCCCGCCUGGGGAGUACGGCCGCAAGGCUAAAACUCAAAGGAAUUGACGGGGCCCCGCACAAGCGGCGGAGCAUGCGGAUUAAUUCGAUGCAACGCGUAGAACCUUACCUGGGUUUGACAUGGAUCGGGAGUGCUCAGAGAUGGGUGUGCCUCUUUUGGGGUCGGUUCACAGGUGGUGCAUGGCUGUCGUCAGCUCGUGUCGUGAGAUGUUGGGUUAAGUCCCGCAACGAGCGCAACCCCUGUUCACUGUUGCCAGCACGUUAUGGUGGGGACUCAGUGGAGACCGCCGGGGUCAACUCGGAGGAAGGUGGGGAUGACGUCAAGUCAUCAUGCCCCUUAUGUCCAGGGCUUCACGCAUGCUACAAUGGCUGGUACAGAGAGUGGCGAGCCUGUGAGGGUGAGCGAAUCUCGGAAAGCCGGUCUCAGUUCGGAUUGGGGUCUGCAACUCGACCUCAUGAAGUCGGAGUCGCUAGUAAUCGCAGAUCAGCAACGCUGCGGUGAAUACGUUCCCGGGGCU
This 1346-nucleotide ribosomal RNA is filed under the name uncultured bacterium. RNAcentral's name for it is "partial 16S ribosomal RNA". It matches the Rfam family "Bacterial small subunit ribosomal RNA", at positions 28 to 1381 of the family's 1533-position model. The record is from RNAcentral.